UAAACAGCUGGAAGAAGUUGAAAGGAACUCGUCGAGUUCGAUCAUGAAAUAAUCUACGUAUAAUUUAUUAAUUUGACCGUAAAUGAACUAGGCAAGUCAGUUAAGAACAAAUUUUUAUUUUCAAUGCUGGUCUAGGAACAGUGGGUAAACUGCCUUGUUCAGGGGCAGAACAAGGAUCGGAUAGGGUAGGUUAAGGUAGGGGUUAUAUCUGUAUAGUGUCGAGCAGAGUAGGGUAGGUUAAGGUAGGGUAGGUUAAGGUAGGGGUUAUAUCUGUAUAGUGUCGAGCAGAGUAGGGUAGGUUAGGGUAGGGUAGGUUAAGGUAGGUUAAGGUAGGGUAGGUUAAGGUAGGGUAGGUUAAGGUAGGGUAGGUUAAGGUAGGGGUUAUAUCUGUAUAGUGUCGAGGCAGAGUAGGGUAGGUUAGGGUGG
This is a long non-coding RNA of Oncorhynchus tshawytscha (Chinook salmon), 426 nucleotides long. RefSeq lists it as uncharacterized. The transcript has 3 exons. The record is from RefSeq and is a predicted model, not a curated record. NCBI's taxonomy places the organism in Eukaryota, Metazoa, Chordata, Actinopteri, Salmoniformes, Salmonidae.